ACGCAAACGCUUCCGAGCCGGAAGUAUAGAGCGUUGCGUCCCAUCCUGUUGAAGGACAUCUAAGGAGACGCUCUCCAGGCUUUCUACCUGGCUGUGGAGUUGGGUCAUUGAAUGGUUUGACCUUUUCUGAGUCAGGAUGUAAGGCUGGUUAGUUUUAUUGACCUGUUCAUUAGCUAUUGUUGAGGACUCAACAAGAAAGAUGAAAACACUUGAAGAGCGUCAUUCUGUUCUUCUUUGACACCAGAGUCCACCUGCAAUGAUCCAGGAGCCCGUGACUGUUUCUGGGAAGGAGGCAGCAACACUGGCAGAGAGCAGAGCUUGAAAGUCAGAUGAUGUAACCAAAGUGCCACGAGAGGGCUUAUACUCUUAAAGUCCUGGGUCGGCGGCAAUGAUCUCCAGGUGGAUCAGCUCCCCAGGUCUAGUCCAGGAGUUGGAGAAGCUGAAGGAGGAGAUCCAGCAGGAGCUGAGGAGGCAUGGGGCUAUACUUACUGGGUCAGGAUUCCCUGGAAGAAUGUGAAGCUGAAGGAGAAGGUGGACUGAUCAUGGGACCACCUGCUUCUCCAUGCCAGUAUGAUGGGGCAGCAGGUUGAUGUGCAUAAACUGCAAUAGUGCCUGGUACCCCAUGCCUAUCUUCUGAACAUAAGGAAAGUCUAUUUUCCAAAUGCCGUUUAACUAUCAUUUCAGGUUUACUCAGAGCCAUGCAGUAAAGGAAAUUCUGGGAAAUGUAGUUACAGCUGAGCUAAGUUGACAUAGCAUAAAUUCGUCCAUACUCAACCAAUUGUAUUCCUGCCAAGUAAGUAUUUUUUAAAGUUGUUUUAAAUUUUAAAAUUUUUUAAAGUUGUUUUAAAUUUUAAAUUUAAAGUUGAUUUAAAAAAAACCCAGCACCAUUCUGCAUGUAGCCAUUUAGGGCUUGCUUUUUAAACUCAGCAUUGUUUUUUAGGAUUUAUUCAUACUGAUGUGUGUAGCUAUGACUCAUUCCUGUUGACUGCUCUAUUAUAUUCCACUGUGUGACGAUACCAUGGUUUACUCAUCCACUCUGUUGUUGAUGGGCAUCUGGCUUAUUUCCAGAUGUUUUAACUAGCUUGGGCUACUAUAACAAAAUUGCUGCUAUAAUCUUUGACUGAGGGGUUUAAACAAUAGACAUGUAUUAUUCACAGUUCUAGAAACUGAGAAGUCCAAGAUCAAGCUGUGGCCAGUUCAGCUCCUGGUAGAUCCUGCCUCCUGGGUGCAGACAGCUGCCUUCUCGCCUUAUCUUCACACAGCAGAGAAGAGAGCUCUGAUCCCUCUUCUUGUAAGAACAGUAAUCCCAUCAUGGGGGCCCCACCCUCACGACCUCAUCUAAAAAGUUCCUUCCAAAUACAUUGGGGGUUAGGUCUUCAACAUAAGAAUUUUGCAUGGACAUAAGCAUUUGGUCAAUAACACUACAGUUUGCUAUUGGAAACAGUGUUUGUAUGAACAUUCUCACAGAUGUCUCCAGGUACGUAGGGGUAAAACUCUCAUAACUUUACACUAGGAGUAGAAUUUUUGGACCUGAGGUAGAGCAACCUGAAUCCUAAUUUUCCCAGGACAAUAUCAGUUAUGCCUGCUGCCCAGGAAUGAUUAUUAAAUAUUGCCCCAUCUUUCCCCAUUUAUAGCUUGCUUUCAUCCUCUUUUGACAAAUGGAAGUUCUUAAUUUUAGUAUGGCUGAAUUUGUAAAAAAAUUUUAAAUUGUUAGUAUUUUUUGAGUAUUGUUAAGGAAAUCCUGCUCUAUCUCAAAGUCUAAAAGAUAUUUACCUAUGAUUUUUGUUAAGAGUUUUAAUUUUUUUAUAGCUAAGCCUCAAUCCAUCUGGAAUCAAUUUUACUAUAUGAUGUGUAAUAGGGAUUUAAUUUUGCGUAUGAUGACCUUUUUUUUUAUCCCACUCUUAUUUUCUCAUUAUUCUGGCAGGCCACUUCUGUCGUAUGCCGAAGCUUCACAUAUGGGUGGAUCUCUAUCUGAGCUUUGUGUUUGAUUCCACACUCUGUCUGUUCCAGUGCCAGUAGCAACUUGUCUUAAUUACUGUAUUUUCAUCAAAAAAGUGUGAUAUCUAGUGGGGCAAUUCUUGCCUCUGUGCUAAUCUUUUUUUAUAAAAGUCUUGGUUUCCCCCCCCUUUACUCUUUUAUUUAAAUUUUAUAAUCAACUUAUCAAGUUCUAUAGGAAUACAUGUUAAAAUUUUCUUUGGAACUUUAUCAAACUGGGGAGAUGGACAGCAUUAUACUAUUGCCUUCAUAUUCACAAUGUGAUAUCUCCUAUAUUUUAUUUGGGUCUUAUUACAGGCUACUCAUAAUAAAGUUUUAUAUUUCUCUUUGUAGAAUUACACAUAUUUUUAGGUUUAUUUCUAGGUUCUUGGUGCCCUUUGAAACUAUUGUGAAUUUUGCCUUUUCUUUAAUUACAUUUUCUGUUUAUUCAAAGAGUGUAGAAAUGUAAUUGACUUUUGGAAACUUGCUUAUUAUAUCUAAUAAUUUGCUCAUAGAUCUAUUUGCUCUCUUGUACAAACAGUUAUAUCAUCUGAAAAUAAUGACAGUUCUAUUCCUUUCCUUUCCAUUCCCUCUCUCAUUUUCUUCUCUUAUUGUGCUGGCUGAACAUGGUGAACAGAAAUAGUAAGGCUCUGGACUAGAUUGUCUCAUUUCUUAUUUUACAGUGAAUUAUUCUAAUCUUUUUCCACUUAGGAUGAUCUUUCAAAGUUAUUAUUUUGUAGUUACUCUCAGCAGACUAAGGAAUUUUUCUUUAUUCCUAAUUUGCUAAGCAGUUUUUACAAAAUUUUUAACAGUAAAGUAUAUAUAACAUAAAAUUGGCCAUUUUAACUAUUUUAAGGGUACGAUUCAGUUACCUUAAUUCUGUUCACACUGUUGUGCAAUCAUUACAACUAUGCUUUUCCAAAAUUUUUUCAUCACCCACAAAAGAAACUGUAAUCAUGAAGCAAUAACACCCCGUCCCCUUUGCCCCCAGGCCCUGGAUACUUCUAAUCUACUUUGUCUCUAUACAUUUGUUAUUCUAGAUGUUUCAUACAGGUGGAAUCACAUAAUAUUUGUUCUUUUGUAUGUAGAUCUUUUCACUUAUAUAAUGUCUUCAAGAUUUAUCCAUGUUGCAGUAUAUAGCAGAAUUUCAUUCCGUUUACAGAUGAGUAAUAUUCGUUGAAUGUGAACACGCCUGUUGUUAAUUCAUGCAUCUGUUGGUGGACCCCUGUGUGGUUUUCACCUUUUGCCUAUUGUGAAUCUUUAACCCUAUUAAAAGCAAAGGUUUCUUUUAAACCAUGAACUUAUAUUGAAUUUUAUAAGUGCCUGUUUGCAUCUACUGAAAUGAUUAUGUGUAUAUAUUCUUUUCUACACUGGUGGAUGACAUUUUAAACUGGGUGGAGCCUCAAAUAUUUUACUUCCUAUGCACCUUUUCUCGGGAUGCUACUGGAGCAUAUGCUCCAGGAAACUGAGGGUGUAAACCAGGAGACAGGAAGACACGGGAGACAGGAAACAGAAGAUUCAACAAAGGAGAGAGGAUAAGGG
Long non-coding RNA from Cervus elaphus (red deer), 3516 nucleotides. RefSeq lists it as uncharacterized. NCBI's taxonomy places the organism in Eukaryota, Metazoa, Chordata, Mammalia, Artiodactyla, Cervidae. The record is from RefSeq and is a predicted model, not a curated record. The transcript is spliced from 4 exons.